Molecule: long non-coding RNA, 315 nt
Filed under: Phoenix dactylifera (date palm)
Lineage: Eukaryota; Viridiplantae; Streptophyta; Magnoliopsida; Arecales; Arecaceae
Description: long non-coding RNA (PDAC_LNC017291)
Source: RNAcentral
UUGUGAAAGAAUGGCAGCCUUGCAGUCUUCAUUUCAUUAACUUUAUAAGCUUUAGAAACUGGAUAAGAACAUGCAGGGUUCUGGGUGAUUAAGAACCGUGGUUGGUAAUUACUCUUGAUCUCGAUGUUUCUUGAAGUUCUGUUAAAUUUUUCAACUCUUGCAUGGUGGAGUACUUACCUAGAGAUUGUACUCAUGUUGAAUGUAUUAUUUCUGCCAAGCACAACAAAGAUCUAAUUUUGCUUUUUCCAUUAAAUUGUUACCUCUUGUUUUGGAGAUCCCUUGCCUAUGCAUCAACUCAUCCCUAAUUGAGGUAAA